CGCAAGCCUGACGGAGCCAGACCGCGUGAGGGAAGAAAGCCUUUGGGUUGUAAACCUCUUUUCUCAGGGAAGAAACCUGACGGUACCUGAGGAAUCAGCAUCGGCUAACUCCGUGCCAGCAGCCGCGGUAAUACGGAGGAGGCAAGCGUUAUCCGGAAUUAUUGGGCGUAAAGCGUCCGCAGGUGGCGAUUCAAGUCUGCUGUCAAAGCACGGGGCUUAACUCCGUUAAGGCAGUGGAAACUGACCCACUCGAGGGUGGUAGGGGUAGAGGGAAUUCCCGGUGUAGCGGUGAAAUGCGUAGAGAUCGGGAAGAACAUCGGUGGCGAAAGCGCUCUACUGGACGGCAACUGACACUCAGGGACGAAAGCUAGGGGAGCG
RNAcentral lists this ribosomal RNA (378 nucleotides) under uncultured cyanobacterium. RNAcentral describes it as "bacterial SSU rRNA". It matches the Rfam family "Bacterial small subunit ribosomal RNA", at positions 376 to 770 of the family's 1533-position model. Lineage: Bacteria; Bacillati; Cyanobacteriota. The record is from RNAcentral.